GAAUGAAGAACGCAGCGAAAUGCGAUAAGUAGUGUGAAUUGCAGAAUUCAGUGAAUCAUCGAAUCUUUGAACGCACAUUGCGCCCCUUGGUAUUCCAUGGGGCAUGCCUGUUCGAGCGUCAUUUGUACCUUCAAGCUCUGCUUGGUGUUGGGUGUUUGUCUCGCCUCUGCGCGUAGACUCGCCUCAAAACAAUUGGCAGCCGGCGUAUUGAUUUCGGAGCGCAGUACAUCUCGCGCUUUGCACUCAUAACGACGACGUCCAAAAGUACAUUUUUACACUCUUGACCUCGGAUCAGGUAGGGAUACCCGCUGAACUUAAGCAUAUCAAUAAGCGGAGGA
This 338-nucleotide unclassified non-coding RNA is filed under the name soil metagenome. Its description in RNAcentral is "partial contains 5.8S ribosomal RNA, internal transcribed spacer 2, and large subunit ribosomal RNA". The stretch from base 3 to 121 matches the Rfam family "5.8S ribosomal RNA", at positions 36 to 154 of the family's 154-position model. The record is from RNAcentral.